GGGACCGUAGGUUGGUCGUGCCACCGGUACGUACUGGUCUCACUGAUUCCUCCUUCCUGAAGAACCGUAAUGCCAUUCAUUUGGUGUUGCGGGGAAACAGGACUGUUACUUUGAAAAAAUUAGAGUGUUUAAAGCAAGCUAACGCUUGAAUACAUUAGCAUGGAAUAAUGAAAUAGGACGAUCGAUCCUAUUUUGUUGGUUUCUAGGAUUGACGUA
RNAcentral lists this ribosomal RNA (216 nucleotides) under Glomeromycotina sp. Its description in RNAcentral is "partial small subunit ribosomal RNA". The stretch from base 40 to 216 matches the Rfam family "Eukaryotic small subunit ribosomal RNA", at positions 686 to 864 of the family's 1831-position model. Lineage: Eukaryota; Fungi; Glomeromycota. The record is from RNAcentral.